Molecule: ribosomal RNA, 402 nt
Filed under: Triticum aestivum (bread wheat)
Lineage: Eukaryota; Viridiplantae; Streptophyta; Magnoliopsida; Poales; Poaceae
Description: partial small subunit ribosomal RNA
Source: RNAcentral
AUGAUGCCUUGUGAUUUCUUUGCUACCACCUUGCAUUACAUGAUACCAUCACUUAAGAUUGAUUUGAAAACUCAUUUGCUUGGAUAUGAUGAUAUAUACCCUGUUAGUGGCAUUACUCUCAUUUGCGAUGAUCAUAGUUACUUUCCUCGUGCUAGUCCUAUGCUUAAUGAAACACAUCAUUUCCAUGCUAGUCUUGAGCUUAAUGAUAAAUGUCAUCCUCGUGUGAGUAUUGACCAUGCUGAUUUCUGCCAUCCUAAACAUGUGCUUUAUAGUUAUGCUUAUAUAAUUGGAUAUACCAUUGAUGACUUGGAGGGCAUCGACCGUAUCACUUAUAGUUGUUUGUGUGAGUCCUAUUUCAGGCUUUUGCUACUGCACUGUUUACUACAUGCUGACCAGGUUUGA